UACAGAGGGUGCGAGCGUUAAUCGGAAUUACUGGGCGUAAAGCGUGCGUAGACGGUUAUUUAAGUCGGGUGUGAAAGCCCCGGGCUCAACCUGGGAAUUGCAUUCGAGACUGAAUAGCUAGGGUACGGUAGAGGGAAGUGGAAUUUCCGGUGUAGCGGUGAAAUGCGUAGAUAUCAGGAGGAACACCAAUUGCGAAGGCAGCUCGCUGGGACGUUACUGACGCUGAGACGCGAAAGCGUGGGGAGCAAACAGG
RNAcentral lists this ribosomal RNA (253 nucleotides) under uncultured bacterium. RNAcentral describes it as "partial 16S ribosomal RNA". It matches the Rfam family "Bacterial small subunit ribosomal RNA", at positions 524 to 776 of the family's 1533-position model. The record is from RNAcentral.